UACGUAGGGUGCAAGCGUUGUCCGGAAUUAUUGGGCGUAAAGAGCUCGUAGGCGGUUUGUCGCGUCUGCUGUGAAAACUCGGGGCUUAACCCCGGGCCUGCAGUGGGUACGGGCAGACUAGAGUGCGGUAGGGGAGACUGGAAUUCCUGGUGUAGCGGUGGAAUGCGCAGAUAUCAGGAGGAACACCGAUGGCGAAGGCAGAUCUCUGGGCCUUACCUGACGCUCAGGUGCGAAAGCUAGGGGAGCGAACAGG
Molecule: ribosomal RNA, 253 nt
Filed under: uncultured bacterium
Lineage: Bacteria
Description: partial 16S ribosomal RNA
Rfam family: Bacterial small subunit ribosomal RNA
Source: RNAcentral